Molecule: long non-coding RNA, 1100 nt
Filed under: Olea europaea subsp. europaea
Lineage: Eukaryota; Viridiplantae; Streptophyta; Magnoliopsida; Lamiales; Oleaceae
Source: RNAcentral
UGAUACCAAAUAUUACUUUUACAUAACUUAUAAAGUAUUUUGAAAUAACAUGCAAUGUACGUUCAACUUUGACCAGUGAAAUUAAAAGAUCCCUUUUUUUUUUUUUUUUACAAUCGUGCUAGGCUUCUAGAAUGAUAUUCAUAGAUGUUUUACAGAAUGAGUUGUCCACUAUUGAAAAAGGGAAAAUGAUGAAGAAAACUGGAAGUACAAGUCACGUCGUUUGGGAUUAAGAACAACAAGCCAUUGGACCUUAUUUACUAGCCUGUUUUUCAACUGUCAAAACACAAGCCAAGCGACGGUGGCCGGAACGAGCCCACCUAGAAGCCUUCAAUAUCCAGCACAGAAUCAGAACUUCCCUGUUUUCUACAAUACCCAUGGAAACAAUUUCUUCAUUUUUAAUCUUUUUGCAUUUUCUUGCUUGAUUGAGAAUCUGUGAUGGAGAAGGAGAAAUUUAAAAAAAAAUAAAAUAAAAAUAAAAAAACUAAGUCAAUUUCAGAGUUGUGCUUUCCCCACUGAAUUUCCCUGCAAUUUUGGCAAUUGUGGAGUUGGCUAUCCCGAAACAGAGAUGAUGAAGACUUGCUCACCUCGUUAACUCGACCCUCUUUCUACCAUCGUCUCAACCCCAUCAAGCCUCUAAAUCUCAAGGUGCCAUUUAUCUCUCUUUCGGUGGAAAAAUGGGCUUCAGGGUUUUCAGUCUGGUCGGAGGUGUGGCAUCGAUUGGUUAGCUUGCGAUGGAGACAAUGGGUGAGAAGAUGGGCGUAGUCUCUAGACUCUAGGUGAAAUUGGAUUAUUUGGGUGGAGAUGGGGAAAUGUAAUGCGGGUCCCCAAUUUAUCUCACGUUUUGUUCGUUUCUUUUUGUUUUCAAGUUUCUGUAAAACCUCUGUAAAAAUCAUUCUGUACUCCCAGCAUUAUUCUUUUUUUUAAUACUUCUUUGCUCCCUACAUCUCGUCUUUAAGUUUCCCAGACUAUAUUUUAUAAUUAGAUGUCAUGUCAUAUCCCUCCUCCAAAUGUUUGUAUGCUAUAUUGACUUAAAUAUCAUUAUUGAAAAGAUAAAUAUAUAUUUUUUAAUUGUGUAGCAUCGUCGAGUCCAUCAAUCUAAC